Molecule: ribosomal RNA, 253 nt
Filed under: uncultured bacterium
Lineage: Bacteria
Description: partial 16S ribosomal RNA
Rfam family: Bacterial small subunit ribosomal RNA
Source: RNAcentral
UACAGGGGGUGCAAACGUUGCUCGGAAUUAUUGGGCGUAAAGCGCGCGUAGGCGGCCACUUAAGUCGGAUGUGAAAGCCCCUGGCUCAACUGGGGAAGUGCACCCGAAACUGAAUGGCUUGAGUGCGAAAGAGGGUCGCGGAAUUCCCGGUGUAGAGGUGAAAUUCGUAGAUAUCGGGAGGAACACCGGUGGCGAAGGCGGCGACCUGGGUCGACACUGACGCUGAGGCGCGAAAGCGUGGGGAGCGAUCCGG